Molecule: ribosomal RNA, 490 nt
Filed under: uncultured bacterium
Lineage: Bacteria
Description: partial 16S ribosomal RNA
Rfam family: Bacterial small subunit ribosomal RNA
Source: RNAcentral
AUUGAACGCUGGCGGCAGGCCUAACACUUGCAAGUCGAACGGUAACAGGAAGCAGCUUGCUGCUUUGCUGACGAGUGGCGGACGGGUGAGUAAUGUCUGGGAAACUGCCUGAUGGAGGGGGAUAACUACUGGAAACGGUAGCUAAUACCGCAUAACGUCGCAAGACCAAAGAGGGGGACCUUCGGGCCUCUUGCCAUCGGAUGUGCCCAGAUGGGAUUAGCUAGUAGGUGGGGUAACGGCUCACCUAGGCGACGAUCCCUAGCUGGUCUGAGAGGAUGACCAGCCACACUGGAACUGAGACACGGUCCAGACUCCUACGGGAGGCAGCAGUGGGGAAUAUUGCACAAUGGGCGCAAGCCUGAUGCAGCCAUGCCGCGUGUAUGAAGAAGGCCUUCGGGUUGUAAAGUACUUUCAGCGGGGAGGAAGGGAGUAAAGUUAAUACCUUUGCUCAUUGACGUUACCCGCAGAAGAAGCACCGGCUAACUCCGUG